RNAcentral lists this ribosomal RNA (421 nucleotides) under uncultured bacterium. Its description in RNAcentral is "bacterial SSU rRNA". It matches the Rfam family "Bacterial small subunit ribosomal RNA", at positions 356 to 774 of the family's 1533-position model. The record is from RNAcentral.
GAGGAAUAUUGGGCAAUGCCCGCAAGGGUGACCCAGCAACGCCGCGUGGAGGAUGAAUGUCGUGAGAUUGUAAACUCCUGUUAGAGGGGAAGAAUAGUACCGGUUGGACCGGUAUAUGACUGUACCCUCAGAGAAAGCCCCGGCUAACUACGUGCCAGCAGCCGCGGUAAUACGUAGGGGGCAAGCGUUGUCCGGAUUUACUGGGUGUAAAGGGCGCGCAGGCGGGAUAAAAAGUCAGUGGUGAAAUCCUACAGCUUAACUGUAGAACUGCCUUUGAUACUUUUAUUCUUGAGUUCGGGAGAGAGAGACGGAAUUCCAGGUGUAGUGGUGAAAUACGUAGAUAUCUGGAAGAACACCAGUUGCGAAGGCGGUCUCUUGGUCCGACACUGACGCUGAGGCGCGAAAGCGUGGGGAGCAAACA